GACGGAGGGUGCAAACGUUGUUCGGAAUCACUGGGCCUAAAGAGCACGUAGGCUGCGCGCUAAGUCAGGUGUGAAAUCCCCCGGCUCAACCGGGGAACUGCACCUGAUACUGGCGUGCUCGAGGACGGUAGGGGUGAGUGGAACUCCAGGUGGAGCGGUGAAAUGCGUAGAUAUCUGGAGGAACACCGGAGGCGAAAGCGGCUCACUGGACCGUCUCUGACGCUGAGGUGCGAAAGCGUGGGGAGCAAACAGG
RNAcentral lists this ribosomal RNA (253 nucleotides) under uncultured bacterium. RNAcentral describes it as "partial 16S ribosomal RNA". It matches the Rfam family "Bacterial small subunit ribosomal RNA", at positions 524 to 776 of the family's 1533-position model. The record is from RNAcentral.